AUUAAAGAAUGAUUAAAGGCUCAGAUUUGAAGGUUCAUGUGGGUCCAAUGGCUGCUAUGCAAAGAAGCAAAGUUCUCAACUCUGAGAAGGUGUCCAACGGUCACUUUUAAGGAUGGCUUGGAUUAGAGACAUUUUUAAUCCAAUGGUCAACUAUGCUUGAAGACAUUGAAUGGCCAAGAUGAAGACCAAAGUAGCAAGAUUAAGGGCUGAUAUUGAAACGACACUUUUGCUUGUCAAAAUGGAGAAUUUGAGACAAGUCUCAACGACACAAAAUUUCAUAUGAAUUAUGUGAGAUAUGUGAAACUCACGAAUUCACUUAAAACGUGACGGUUUUCUUUGGGGAGUACCAGCGCAAGGGACCAGGAUCCAACCAUGCUACAAGGGCCAAGUUCACCAAGAACCUGACACCAGCCCAGGCCAACAAAUUCCUCUCCCUUGGUUUCAUUCAUGCCUCCAAAUGGCUUCUCCCUCCUCCCAAGAUGUAAAUACAUCAUCAUGUAUAUGGGCUCCAUGUUUUAUCAAAAAAAAAGAAAGUAUAUGGGCUCCAUGCUAGAAAUAGCUAAGGAGUGAAUUGUGGUAUACGUCAGCAUUGUUUAUAUAAUUAAAAUAAAUUCAUUGAAAUAAUAGGAUUUUAUUCUUCAA
This is a long non-coding RNA of Tripterygium wilfordii, 642 nucleotides long. RefSeq lists it as uncharacterized. Lineage: Eukaryota; Viridiplantae; Streptophyta; Magnoliopsida; Celastrales; Celastraceae. The record is from RefSeq and is a predicted model, not a curated record. The transcript has 2 exons.